AUUGAACGCUGGCGGCAGGCCUAACACAUGCAAGUCGAGCGGAUGAAGGGAGCUUGCUCCUGGAUUCAGCGGCGGACGGGUGAGUAAUGCCUAGGAAUCUGCCUGGUAGUGGGGGAUAACGUCCGGAAACGGGCGCUAAUACCGCAUACGUCCUGAGGGAGAAAGUGGGGGAUCUUCGGACCUCACGCUAUCAGAUGAGCCUAGGUCGGAUUAGCUAGUUGGUGGGGUAAAGGCCUACCAAGGCGACGAUCCGUAACUGGUCUGAGAGGAUGAUCAGUCACACUGGAACGUGGACACGGUCCAUGCUCCUACGGGAGGCAGCAGUGUGGAAUAUUGGACAGUGGUCGAAAGCCUGAUCCAGCCAUGCCGCGUGUGUGAAGAAGGUCUUCGGAUUGUAAAGCACUUUAAGGUGGUGGGAAGGGCAGUAGGUUAAGACCUUGCUGUUUUGACGUUACCAACAGAAUAAGCACCGGCUAACUUCGUG
Molecule: ribosomal RNA, 484 nt
Filed under: uncultured bacterium
Lineage: Bacteria
Description: partial 16S ribosomal RNA
Rfam family: Bacterial small subunit ribosomal RNA
Source: RNAcentral